UCGUUCGCUUCGCGCUCGCUCCUCUCGCGAGAAGCCCCUCUUUACAUUUACAUGGCCGGCUCCUCGAGGCCGCUCGCGAGGACAUCGCGCUCAUGAAUUUAUCCCGUGAGUCGUACGGAGAGGGAGGAGGCACGAGAUGAUAGCCGGAUAACGUUGGCGUAUCAUUGGACCAGUUCUUGGAGACGCGAAACGCGACCCGCACGGUGAAUCGAAAUGGCAGGAAUUGUCGGUGUGUUUGCGCUGCUUCUUUUGGGUUGGACUGAUGGUUGGAUUACUUAGUUUGUAUAACGCAGGUGGGUGGUUCGAGAAGGUUAAUUGUUUUGGCGAGUUGACUCGUUGAAGUACUGCGUCGAGUGGGUGCAAGUGACAUAUUCUUAUACAUUGUCAGAAAUUCUGUUUUGCUGAAGAUAAGCAAGAGAUAUUGGAUUUGAGAGUGAAACGGCUGAAAGCAUCGGCGUGUAUCUUUUGUUGCUUCUGAGUUGAGCUGAAUUGGUGGUUGUGUAGUGCUGAUGGAUGGUCGAAGGAGGGGUCGUUUCGUGGAACGAGUUUAUGAAGUACCGCACAGAGUAGGUGGAAGGAUAAAGCAAGCGAAUCGAACGCUGCUGCAUCGUGAUCGGCCAUUUUUCCCUCGUUGAACGGUCAACCGAACCGUCUGGCCGCUCGUAAAGCCGGUUGAUUUAUUCAACGGAUCAGCGUGGAACAGCGACUAAUUAGCGCGAUUAGCUUGCGCCACACGAUCUUCGUAUUCGUACGCGGUUGAUCGUUUCGCGGUGCAUGAAUGGACGCCUUCGAAUAGUCAGACUAAUACCUGAAACCUGGCCGAUCGAGCAAGUAACGAGCGAUCACGUUGAAAGCGAACCUGACGGCGAAUUAACGAUGAGACCAAUUAACGAUGGAAGAAUGAGGAGAGCAAAGUAUGGAAGCGAACGGUUUUUUAACAGAGAUCGAAGGAGGUGGUUGAAGGAUUCGAAGGUUGGUGGACGACGUUCUGCAGCUUGAAGAUGAAUAAGGGGACUAAUUAACGAAGGAGAACGAACAGAGGUGACUAUGAAAUAUAGGAGGAUGUUAUAUAGGACUGUUUUUCACAACCAAUAACGAUUGUGAUAUUUCUAUAUUGACAUAUCGUAACACAUACAAUUACCAUU
Long non-coding RNA from Bombus pascuorum, 1145 nucleotides. RefSeq lists it as uncharacterized. NCBI's taxonomy places the organism in Eukaryota, Metazoa, Arthropoda, Insecta, Hymenoptera, Apidae. The record is from RefSeq and is a predicted model, not a curated record. The transcript has 3 exons.